RNAcentral lists this unclassified non-coding RNA (737 nucleotides) under Hevea brasiliensis (rubber tree). Lineage: Eukaryota; Viridiplantae; Streptophyta; Magnoliopsida; Malpighiales; Euphorbiaceae. The record is from RNAcentral.
UUUUAAAAUUUGAUCAUAAAUUUUAUUUAAUAUUCGUUUUAAUUAUUUUAAUAAUAAAUGUACUUAUAAGUUAUUUUUUACUAAACACAUUAAAUUCUUAUCAGUCACUUAUUAAGCACUUUAACUAAACACGUAACUGGAGCUCAAAUUAGUUUAUAAGCACUUAAAAGCACCUAGUGCUUAUAAGCUGUUUUUCAUAAGUUAAGCCAAAAACCUUCUCAAUUCAUUUUUUUUUUUUAUUAUUUGCGCUGAAAGAUUUAAUGAUUUUCUUCUACUUCUUGAUGAAUGUUGUCUACUUUUCCAUCUGUUCACACCUUAUGUACAUAAAUAUUAUAAAAGUGUGUGAAACCUUAAAAAUAAUUGUGGCAAUUGAUGUUUUUGACAGCCAUAGAUUUUCCUAAUUGUUUCUCAAAACACUUUCUAAUAAGGUUUGCUAAUCUGGCACCGCUGAAAUUUUUUCGAUGUAUCUUGUUGGAUGUUGCACUUCACUUAGUUCAAACUUUGUUUUCCAUCCAUGUUUGCAAGUUCACAUUUCUUUUCCCUGACUGGUAUAUGUAUUUGCCUUUUUCCUUUGCAUAUGUGGAUGCCUUCACUUGUUUCCUUUGCAUUUUCAAUUAUGAUAAGUCUGCAUAUGACGUUGAAUUCAAGUCCUAUCUGUUCUCACAAUUUUGGACUUGUCCAUGAUUCAAAAACGUAACAUUGAAACAUUGCAUUAGAUAUCCUGUUCUGUGUAGCCA